Long non-coding RNA from Rosa chinensis, 171 nucleotides. RefSeq lists it as uncharacterized. The record is from RefSeq and is a predicted model, not a curated record. The transcript has 2 exons. Lineage: Eukaryota; Viridiplantae; Streptophyta; Magnoliopsida; Rosales; Rosaceae.
UGAAUUGAAUUUGAUGAUGAUGGUGGGUGAGAAACAGAGAAAGUAUGGGUUGUGGAAGGGAGCUAUGGAAGGGACAUCUGACUUUUAAGGCCAAAUAGUGAAACCGGCCCACACCGAAACAGAAACCGCACCGAACUGGAUUUCGGUGUAACCGAAGAAUUCGGCCUAUGA